Molecule: ribosomal RNA, 465 nt
Filed under: Vreelandella stevensii
Lineage: Bacteria; Pseudomonadati; Pseudomonadota; Gammaproteobacteria; Oceanospirillales; Halomonadaceae
Description: partial 16S ribosomal RNA
Rfam family: Bacterial small subunit ribosomal RNA
Source: RNAcentral
CCUACGGGGGGGUGCAGUGGGGAAUAUUGGACAAUGGGCGAAAGCCUGAUCCAGCCAUGCCGCGUGUGUGAAGAAGGCCUUCGGGUUGUAAAGCACUUUCAGUGGGGAAGAAAGCCUUGGGGCUAAUACCCUCGAGGAAGGACAUCACCCACAGAAGAAGCACCGGCUAACUCCGUGCCAGCAGCCGCGGUAAUACGGAGGGUGCGAGCGUUAAUCGGAAUUACUGGGCGUAAAGCGCGCGUAGGCGGUCUGAUAAGCCGGUUGUGAAAGCCCCGGGCUCAACCUGGGAACGGCAUCCGGAACUGUCAGGCUAGAGUGCAGGAGAGGAAGGUAGAAUUCCCGGUGUAGCGGUGAAAUGCGUAGAGAUCGGGAGGAAUACCAGUGGCGAAGGCGGCCUUCUGGACUGACACUGACGCUGAGGUGCGAAAGCGUGGGUAGCAAACAGGAUUAGAUACCCCGGUAGUC